CUAAAGUCUUAUAAAUUCGUCGGCUAAAACUUUGAAAUUCGUCGGCUAAAGUCUUAAAUUUCGUCGGCUAAAACUUUGAAAUUCGUCGGCUAAACCUUUGAAAUUCGUCGGCUAAAAGUAUUUGUAUACAUUUGGCAUGUUGUGAUUGUGAUGAUCAAACUUGAGAAACAGAAAUCCGACCGUCAGAUCUGACCAUCAUGAUAAAAUACAUGUGUGGGAAAAAAUUCAACUUGAUCCGAAAAGAAUAAGGGCUCGAUCCGGACGGUCAAUCUCGUAAGUCAAACCCCUAAACGCACGGAAAAGGUCGUUCGACCGUCUAAAUUACGUAUUUUGGCCGGACCUCCAACUGAAAAUAGUUUUAAACCGAUGACACGCAACAAGUCGUAUAAAAAUUUUACGCAAAAUAACCACCGAAUAUAGGGCUACUCAUAGGGGGAAAAAAUGAAAAAUUGCAUUGACCGCAACUAUCGACACCGAAUAUUUACCGGAAUAGUGUGAUUUUUCAACCGUGGAUGUAUUUCAACAUUCUCGUCAUAUCUUAUUUCAUGACUUUUUGCCGUUUGAAGGUUUUACGUAUAGUUUGUUUUUGAAACGGAACAUUUACAUAACACUAGGUAAACAAGUUAUACAACAUUAGUAUGCCUGUUGUGAUUGUGAUGAUCAAACUUGAGAAACAGUCAUCCGACCGUCAGAUCUGACCAUCAUGAUAAAAUACAUCUAUGGGAAAAAAUUCAACUUGAUCCGAAAAGAAUAAGGGCUCGAUCCGGACGGUCAAUCUCGUAAGUCAAACCCCUAAACGCACGGAAAAGGUCGUUCGACCGUCUAAAUUACGUAUUUUGGCCGGACCUCCAACUGAAAAUAGUUUUAAACCGAUGACACGCAACAAGUCGUAUAAAAAUUUUACGCAAAAUAACCACCGAAUAUAGGGCUACUCAUAGAUGGAAAAAAUGAAAAAUUGCAUUGACCGCAACUAUCGGCACCGAAUAUUUACCGGAAUAGUGUGANNNNN
This 1009-nucleotide long non-coding RNA is filed under the name Fragaria vesca (wild strawberry). RNAcentral's name for it is "long non-coding RNA (FVES_LNC003472)". The record is from RNAcentral. Lineage: Eukaryota; Viridiplantae; Streptophyta; Magnoliopsida; Rosales; Rosaceae.